GGGCGUUUGAAGUCGAGUGGUCGAAGACGGCGGGCUGUAACCCCGUACAACGAUACAUCCCAGGUUCGAAUCCUGGAGCGCCCA
This 84-nucleotide transfer RNA is filed under the name Pseudomonas phage pf16. Its description in RNAcentral is "tRNA-Tyr". It matches the Rfam family "tRNA". Rfam says of the family: Transfer RNA (tRNA) molecules are approximately 80 nucleotides in length. Lineage: Duplodnaviria; Heunggongvirae; Uroviricota; Caudoviricetes. The record is from RNAcentral.